GGUUUCGUAGCUCAGGUGAUAGAGUGCUUGCCGCGUAGAGGCAUGGUGUUUCUGUCGCUGGUUUGAAUCCAGCCGAAGCCC
Molecule: transfer RNA, 81 nt
Filed under: Paragonimus heterotremus
Lineage: Eukaryota; Metazoa; Platyhelminthes; Trematoda; Plagiorchiida; Troglotrematidae
Description: tRNA-Tyr
Rfam family: tRNA
About the family: Transfer RNA (tRNA) molecules are approximately 80 nucleotides in length. Their secondary structure includes four short double-helical elements and three loops (D, anti-codon, and T loops).
Source: RNAcentral